UACAGAGGCCCCUAGCGUUGUUCGGAAUUACUGGGCUUAAAGCGAGUGUAGGCGGCGGCAUAAGUCAGAUGUGAAAGCCCGGGGCCUAACCCCGGAACUGCAUUUGAUACUGUGUUGCUUGAGUACGGUAGAGGAGAGUGGAAUUCCUGGUGUAGGAGUGAAAUCCGUAGAUAUCAGGAGGAAUACCAAUGGCGAAGGCAACUCUCUGGCCCGAUACUGACGCUGAGACUCGAAAGCGUGGGGAGCAAACAGG
RNAcentral lists this ribosomal RNA (253 nucleotides) under uncultured bacterium. Its description in RNAcentral is "partial 16S ribosomal RNA". It matches the Rfam family "Bacterial small subunit ribosomal RNA", at positions 524 to 776 of the family's 1533-position model. The record is from RNAcentral.